Molecule: ribosomal RNA, 606 nt
Filed under: Acidovorax sp. 2FB5
Lineage: Bacteria; Pseudomonadati; Pseudomonadota; Betaproteobacteria; Burkholderiales; Comamonadaceae
Description: bacterial SSU rRNA
Rfam family: Bacterial small subunit ribosomal RNA
Source: RNAcentral
CAUGCAAGUCGAACGGUAACAGGUCUUCGGAUGCUGACGAGUGGCGAACGGGUGAGUAAUACAUCGGAACGUGCCCGAUCGUGGGGGAUAACGAGGCGAAAGCUUUGCUAAUACCGCAUACGAUCUACGGAUGAAAGCGGGGGAUCUUCGGACCUCGCGCGGACGGAGCGGCCGAUGGCAGAUUAGGUAGUUGGUGGGAUAAAAGCUUACCAAGCCGACGAUCUGUAGCUGGUCUGAGAGGAUGAUCAGCCACACUGGGACUGAGACACGGCCCAGACUCCUACGGGAGGCAGCAGUGGGGAAUUUUGGACAAUGGGCGAAAGCCUGAUCCAGCCAUGCCGCGUGCAGGAUGAAGGCCUUCGGGUUGUAAACUGCUUUUGUACGGAACGAAAAGCCUCUUUCUAAUAAAGAGGGGUCAUGACGGUACCGUAAGAAUAAGCACCGGCUAACUACGUGCCAGCAGCCGCGGUAAUACGUAGGGUGCAAGCGUUAAUCGGAAUUACUGGGCGUAAAGCGUGCGCAGGCGGUUUUGUAAGACAGAGGUGAAAUCCCCGGGCUCAACCUNNGAACUGCCUUUGUGACUGCAAGGCUGGAGUGCGGCAGAGG